This 343-nucleotide ribosomal RNA is filed under the name Curtobacterium sp. R9.28. RNAcentral describes it as "bacterial SSU rRNA". It matches the Rfam family "Bacterial small subunit ribosomal RNA", at positions 154 to 509 of the family's 1533-position model. Lineage: Bacteria; Bacillati; Actinomycetota; Actinomycetes; Micrococcales; Microbacteriaceae. The record is from RNAcentral.
AAACGACGUCUAAUACUGGAUAUGUUCACUGGCCGCAUGGUCUGGUGGUGGAAAGAUUUUUUGGUUGGGGAUGGACUCGCGGCCUAUCAGCUUGUUGGUGAGGUAAUGGCUCACCAAGGCGACGACGGGUAGCCGGCCUGAGAGGGUGACCGGCCACACUGGGACUGAGACACGGCCCAGACUCCUACGGGAGGCAGCAGUGGGGAAUAUUGCACAAUGGGCGAAAGCCUGAUGCAGCAACGCCGCGUGAGGGAUGACGGCCUUCGGGUUGUAAACCUCUUUUAGUAGGGAAGAGAGCGAAAGUGACGGUACCUGCAGAAAAAGCACCGGCUAACUACGUGCC